Molecule: long non-coding RNA, 273 nt
Organism: Neomonachus schauinslandi (Hawaiian monk seal)
Lineage: Eukaryota; Metazoa; Chordata; Mammalia; Carnivora; Phocidae
Exons: 3
Source: RefSeq, a predicted model, not a curated record
CGAGUCACCGCAGCCAGACUCCAGGGUGGGGGAGGGAAGAAGCCGGAGCCGCAGCAAGCCACACGUGAAAGAAAAGCACAAGAAGAAAGUUUUACAGUCACUGUUGAUAUGACUAUUAUGCUGAUCCCCCAAAUCAAAAAAAAGGUACCAGUAGCCUAGUCGUCUCUUCUACUUAUGAGGAUAGCAAGUAGUUCUCUGUGAUGGGCAUAUACAGCUUAUCUUUACAUGACAAGAAUACUUAAUUUUGAUUUCAGUAGUCAAUAAAAUAUUUGG